Molecule: ribosomal RNA, 369 nt
Filed under: uncultured bacterium
Lineage: Bacteria
Description: bacterial SSU rRNA
Rfam family: Bacterial small subunit ribosomal RNA
Source: RNAcentral
CAGCAGCCCGGUAAUACGGAGGAUCCGAGCGUUAUCCGGAUUUAUUGGGUUUAAAGGGAGCGUAGAUGGAUGUUUAAGUCAGUUGUGAAAGUUUGCGGCUCAACCGUAAAAUUGCAGUUGAUACUGGAUAUCUUGAGUGCAGUUGAGGCAGGCGGAAUUCGUGGUGUAGCGGUGAAAUGCUUAGAUAUCACGAAGAACUCCGAUUGCGAAGGCAGCCUGCUAAGCUGCAACUGACAUUGAGGCUCGAAAGUGUGGGUAUCAAACAGGAUUAGAUACCCUGGUAGUCCACACGGUAAACGAUGAUUACUAGGAGUUUGCGAUACACAGUAAGCUCUACAGCGAAAGCGUUAAGUAAUCCACCUGGGGAGU